RNAcentral lists this microRNA (22 nucleotides) under Eisenia fetida (common brandling worm). RNAcentral describes it as "Efe-Mir-2690-P3_5p* (star (passenger))". The record is from RNAcentral. Lineage: Eukaryota; Metazoa; Annelida; Clitellata; Crassiclitellata; Lumbricidae.
ACACGGGUUUCACUGGCACCCA